GGGUUGGAAGAGAGCAGGACUAAGUGGGAUCGGUCCAACGGUCGGUCCGUCCGGGGAGCGCGUCGGCCGGAGGGUGAGCGGCGAGGAGUCCGGCGGCGUGCCUCGAGCGGGGCGGGCCGGUGGUAAGGCGGUGGUGGCGGCGUCCUUUCGCUCCAGGAUCAACAGCCUUCUCAACCCUUACCUCCCACGCCGCUGCCUCUUGAGCUGCCACGGGUCCCACCGAGGCCUCCGCCGACUGGUACGUCCAGUCGGGCAGCUCCCGAGCUGCCACGGGUACCACCACGGUCUCCGCAGACAACUGCGUCUCGUCCUAUAGCUCGCGAGAAGUCACGGGUACCACCACGGCCUCCGCCGACAGGUUCGCCUGGUCGUACAGCUCCCGAACUGUCGCGGACACCACCAUGGUCUCCGUCGACAGUUGCGUCUGGUCGUACAGCUCCCGAGCUGUCAAGGAUACCACCACGGUCUCCGUCGACAGUUACGUCUGGUCGCACAACUCCCGAGCUGUCACGGAUACCACCAAGGUCUCCUCCGCCAGCUGCGUCUUGGCGCACAACCGCGGCACCGUCGUGGGUACCACUACUAACUUCGUCUACAUCUACGUCUAGUCGCACGACUACCGCACCGUCGUGGGUACCACUACUGACUUCGUCGACGACUGCGCCUAGUAGGAUAGUUCCUACGCUGGUGGGUCCUGUCCUUCGUGCCCCUACUACUGCCUCGACAGUUACAAUGAGGACUCCUUUACUCUCGGUAGUAGCUUCAAUAUCGACUCUGCCCCUUCAAGACCGUGCUGACCUCAAAAGAGUUCUCUAACAACAGAGAGGUUAACUACGUCCAGAACCCACUUAUAAGACUCCGAGUUUACCGUUAGGUUCUCCUGCCCGUCGUUGUCUUAAGGAAUAAAUCUCUCUGCGUGAGUCUCGACAAAUCGGUCGAGUUACUACGAGAGAACUCCAAACUUCUCCCAGGAGGCAAAUGUGAAGUUUCCGAAACACUCUAAAACAACCUAGGUUUUCCUUGUAUGUGUUUUAACAGCUUCGAACGAAACCGGAACCUCUUCUUGGAGGAUCAGUGCAGAUGGUAUUGAUUCACAUGACUUGGGAUGGGAUGACGAGUACCCGGUUUAAGUCUUCCUGGUCACUAGUGUCUUUUGUGUCCAAGACAACUACAUCUCGGACUUUCCGGCCGUCUCGUAGGACGACGUCACGGGUUACCUUGUGUCAUACGUCCUCCACUACCACUACUUCUCUACCGACUGCGUCUUCGCCUCCCCGACGGACCAUCGGUACUACAGCUCUACGUCCUCCUCUUCGGACUAGUUUAAGGUCUACAAUUGGGACUGCGGUUGAGUCAAUGACGUCAACGAACACUUUGUCAAUUACGGUCACUUUUUCGAGGUCUAAGUGUUUCAACUCGAGUGAGUGUCGCUUCCGGUCUUCUGGAUCACGUCGAGAGAAAUUGUUAGGUCGAUAACACUGUAGAGACACGGAUCGACUAAUACGAUACACCAAGAGGGUACUUAGCGCGGGUAUCUGUUAUACUAAUCCCCCAGCACGAAAUACGAAAUUUCAACAUCACUCGGCAGCUUCUACCUUUACCUAUAGAACUGGUACCAACUCUACUUACUUUAAGAGACUCCUUUUUACAUGAGUUUUACCGCUACCGUGUAAGAGGAACCAACAGUGGACUUUCAUACACCUGAAGAAGUGAAGUGAAGGUCCACGGUUUUCAAUACUACAUGGGUUCCAAUCAGUUUAACCUAUAAACCGAUAGGAAAAAACGUUAAACAUGACAUCACUUGAACACGUAGUAAUCUUUCACUGUAGAAAGGACGGGGUAAAAAUGACACUUCGUUAAUUGGACCCGACGCAUAACUGGAAGAUCACAAAGAAUCGUGUAGGGUGACAGUAGACGCCAACAAAUACUCACGUGCGGUGGCAUAAGCACGAAAAGACAGCUACGUUCGAAACACAUAAUCAUUACAAACACGACGACAGAGUACAACUGUCAUCGCAAACACAAUUUGACUGCUACACUGUGAUUGG
Molecule: ribosomal RNA, 2048 nt
Filed under: Triticum aestivum (bread wheat)
Lineage: Eukaryota; Viridiplantae; Streptophyta; Magnoliopsida; Poales; Poaceae
Description: partial small subunit ribosomal RNA
Source: RNAcentral